GAUGAACGCUAGCUACAGGCUUAACACAUGCAAGUCGAGGGGAAACGCUGAGAGAGCUUGCUCUCUUAGGCGUCGACCGGCGCACGGGUGAGUAACGCGUAUCCAACCUACCCAUUACAGGGGGAUAACCUUUCGAAAGUAAGACUAAUACCCCAUGGCAUUUUAUGGUUGCAUCAUUAUAGGAUUAAAGAUUUAUUGGUAAUGGAUGGGGAUGCGUCUGAUUAGCUUGUUGGCGGGGUAACGGCCCACCAAGGCAACGAUCAGUAGGGGUUCUGAGAGGAAGGUCCCCCACAUUGGAACUGAGACACGGUCCAAACUCCUACGGGAGGCAGCAGUGAGGAAUAUUGGUCAAUGGGCGAGAGCUUGAACCAGCCAAGUAGCGUGCAGGAUGACGGCCCUAUGGGUUGUAAACUGCUUUUAUAGGGGAAUAAAGUGAGCUACGUGUAGUUUAUUGCAUGUACCCUAUGAAUAAGGACCGGCUAAUUCCGUG
RNAcentral lists this ribosomal RNA (490 nucleotides) under uncultured bacterium. Its description in RNAcentral is "partial 16S ribosomal RNA". It matches the Rfam family "Bacterial small subunit ribosomal RNA", at positions 28 to 507 of the family's 1533-position model. The record is from RNAcentral.